GUGGGGAAUAUUGGACAAUGGGCGCAAGCCUGAUCCAGCCAUGCCGCGUGAGUGAUGAAGGCCCUAGGGUUGUAAAGCUCUUUCACCGGAGAAGAUAAUGACGGUAUCCGGAGAAGAAGCCCCGGCUAACUUCGUGCCAGCAGCCGCGGUAAUACGAAGGGGGCUAGCGUUGUUCGGAAUUACUGGGCGUAAAGCGCACGUAGGCGGACAUUUAUGUCAGGGGUGAAAUCCCGGGGCUCAACCCCGGAACUGCCUUUGAUACUGGGUGUCUGGAGUAUGGAAGAGGUAAGUGGAAUUCCGAGUGUAGAGGUGAAAUUCGUAGAUAUUCGGAGGAACACCAGUGGCGAAGGCGGCUUACUGGUCCAUUACUGACGCUGAGGUGCGAAAGCGUGGGGAGCAAACAGGAUUAGAUACCCGAGUAGUCC
This 425-nucleotide ribosomal RNA is filed under the name uncultured bacterium. Its description in RNAcentral is "partial 16S ribosomal RNA". It matches the Rfam family "Bacterial small subunit ribosomal RNA", at positions 354 to 796 of the family's 1533-position model. The record is from RNAcentral.